Molecule: unclassified non-coding RNA, 303 nt
Filed under: uncultured fungus
Lineage: Eukaryota; Fungi
Description: partial contains small subunit ribosomal RNA, internal transcribed spacer 1, and 5.8S ribosomal RNA
Rfam family: Eukaryotic small subunit ribosomal RNA (bases 1-73)
Source: RNAcentral
GCAAACUUGGUCAUUUAGAGGAAGUAAAAGUCGUAACAAGGUUUCCGUAGGUGAACCUUCGGAAGGAUCAUUACCGUAUCAUCGCGUGGCACCGGGAGGUAGUCCCCCAAUCGGUUCUACCUCUCUGGUGUACACUGUGUGUGAAACCCUUGACUUUGAGCACCGUAUGUUUCCUCGGCGGGUUCGCCCGCCAGUGAGGACCCCAUAAACGCUUUGUAGUAGCAGUUUUUGUCUGAAAUACAAACAAUAAUCAAAACUUUCAACAAUGGAUCUCUUGGUUCUGGCAUCGAUGAAGAACGCAGC